RNAcentral lists this ribosomal RNA (1871 nucleotides) under Rhynchophorus ferrugineus (red palm weevil). Its description in RNAcentral is "bacterial LSU rRNA". It matches the Rfam family "Bacterial large subunit ribosomal RNA", at positions 1 to 1988 of the family's 2925-position model. Lineage: Eukaryota; Metazoa; Arthropoda; Insecta; Coleoptera; Curculionidae. The record is from RNAcentral.
UAAUCAUAUUAUAGGGCAUUUAGUGGAUACCUAGACAAAAGUUUAAAUGGACGUAGUGAGUUGCGAUAAGCCAAAUGGAAUGUCUCUAACCAUGAUGAUAUUUGGAUCUCCAAAGAGAAAACUCGAAAUUUCUAGAAAACGUAGUGAAUUGAAACAUCUUAGUAGCUAUAGGAAAGGAAAUCAACCGAGAUUCCGAAAGUAUUGGCGAAAGAAAUCGGAAUAGGCCAAAGUUUUAUUUAUUCUAUUUUUUGUUUUGAAAGAUUUGGAAAAGUCUGUCAGAGAAGGUAAUAACCCUGUAUUAACAAAAAAUAUUGAAUAAGUUUUAUAUAAAACUGAAUUUGAGUAGAACAAACAUCGUCUUUGUUCGAAGAAUGGAAGGACCAUCUUCCAAGCCUAAGUAUCAACUUUUGAUCGAUAGUGAACAAGUACCGUGAGGGAAAGGUGAAAGAAUCUGAAAUAUUUUUGAAACUGAAUGCUUACAAGCACUAAGAGCUUUCUAUGAAAUUAGAGAGUGAUUGGGUGCCUUUUGCAUAAUGAGUCAAUGACUAAACAAUUAUCUCGCUUAGCUUAAGCUGUCAAGUGUAGGCGUUUUUAAAUAUGUUACCUUCUUUGGUGCGACAUUGAAGAUGAACAAAGGUGAGUAUUGUUUGACCCGAAACCGAGUGAUCUUAUCAUGAUCAGGUUGAAGAAAUGAUAAUACAUUUUGGAGGACCGAAUUCGUAUCUGUUGCAAUAGAUUGAAAUGAAUUGUGAUAAGGAGUGAAAGACUAAUCGUACUCGGAGAUAGCUGGUUUUCUGCGAAAUCUAUUUAGGUAGAGUGGAUAUAUAAAUGCGCGAGAGCAUGGGGUAGAGCACUUUUUAAGUGAGGGUGGCCCAAAGCCUUACUGAAUUUAAGAAAACUCCGAAUACAUGGAUCUCUGUGACGUAUCUAAACAGACUCUUCGCGAUAAGGUGUGGAGUCGAAAGGGAAACAGCCCAGCCCGCUGGUUAAGGUUCCAAAGCAUUAUCUUAGUGAGAAAGGGAGUGAUCAGGCUUUGACAACUAGAAAAUAGGCUUGGAAGCAGCCAUUUAUUAAUGAAAGCGUAAUAGCUCACUGGUCUAUGCUUGAUUGCACUUAAAAUGUAACGGAGCUCAAGAUAAACACCGAAACCGCGGUUGUAAUAAUUUUUUUAAAUGAAACCUUUUAUAGGUAUUAUAAGGUAGCAGAACGUUCUGUAAGUCAGUGAAGAUAAUAUGUAAAUAUUAUUGGAGAUAUCAGAAGUGAAAAUAUUGACAUGAGUAACGAUAAAUCAUGUGAAAUUCAUGAUCGCCGUAAGCCCAAGGUUUUCUACAAAGUAUAGCUUGGUGUAGAGUAAAUCGGUCCCUAAGGUUAUAUAAAACCAAUAUAAUUGAUGGGUUUAAGGGUUUAAUAUUCCUUAAUUUUUAUUUUAUGACAGAUUUUCUUCUAAAAUAAUGUAAUUUAAAAUUACAAUGAAAAUAAAAAGGAUGUUUUUUUAUUUUGGAAAAGGUCUCUGGAAACAGUAAAAUAAUUAAUAAAACCGUACCGCAAACCGACUCUGGUGGGCUAGUGUAAUUGUACUAAGGCGAAGAGUGACCCACGUUUAAGGAACUCGGCAAAUUAUAUCCGUAACUUCGGGAAAAGGAUAGCCUUUUUAUAGGCAGCAUAAAAUUAGGAGCGACGACUGUUUACCAAAAACACAGAACUCGGCUAAGCUAGUUAGCGAUGUAUCGGGUUUGACGUCUGCCCAGUGCUGGAGAAUAAGAGGAAAAGUUAGAUUAAGUUCGAAGCUUCUAAUUAAAUAUUCAGUAAACGGCGGCCGUAACUAUAACGGUCCUAAGGUAGCGAAAUUCCUUGUCAGGUAAGUUCUGACC